RNAcentral lists this ribosomal RNA (443 nucleotides) under uncultured bacterium. RNAcentral describes it as "partial 16S ribosomal RNA". It matches the Rfam family "Bacterial small subunit ribosomal RNA", at positions 339 to 795 of the family's 1533-position model. The record is from RNAcentral.
CUACGGGUCGCAGCAGCCGAGAAUAUUCGACAAUGGGCGAAAGCCUGAUCGAGCGAUACCGCGUGGUGGAUGAAGUGCCUCGGCACGUAAACAUCUUUUAUGGAGGAGGAAGUCAUUGACGUUACUCCAUGAAUAAGGGGCUCCUAACUCUGUGCCAGCAGGAGCGGUAAUACAGAGGCCCCAAGCGUUACCCGGAAUUACUGGGCGUAAAGAGUGCGUAGGUGGUUGUAUUAGUCGGCUGUUAAAUACUCAGGGCUCAACCUUGGGGAUCCAGUCGAAACGGUACGACUCGAGGGCGUGAGAGGUGAAUGGAACUCAUGGUGUAGGGGUGAAAUCCGUUGAUAUCAUGGGGAACACCGAAAGCGAAGGCAAUUCACUGGCGCGUUCCUGACACUCAAGCACGAAAGCGUGGGUAGCGAACGGGAUUAGAUACCCUUGUAGUC